This 440-nucleotide ribosomal RNA is filed under the name uncultured bacterium. Its description in RNAcentral is "partial 16S ribosomal RNA". It matches the Rfam family "Bacterial small subunit ribosomal RNA", at positions 338 to 795 of the family's 1533-position model. The record is from RNAcentral.
CCUACGGGGGGCAGCAGUGGGGGAUAUUGCACAAUGGGGGGAACCCUGAUGCAGCGACGCCGCGUGGGUGAAGAAGCGCCUCGGCGCGUAAAGCUCUGUCAGCAGGGAAGAAAAUGACGGUACCUGAAGAAGAAGCCCCGGCUAACUACGUGCCAGCAGCCGCGGUAAUACGGAGGGGGCAAGCGUUAUCCGGAUUUACUGGGGGUAAAGGGGGCGCAGACGGCUAGGCAAGCCAGGAGUGAAAGGCCGGGGCCCAACCCCGGGAAUGCUCUUGGAACUGGGUGGCUGGAGUGCAGGAGGGGGAGGCGGAAGUCGUGGUGUAGCGGUGAAAUGCGUAGAUAUCAGGAAGAACACCGGUGGCGAAGGCAGCCUGCUGGACUGCAACUGACGUUGAGGCCCGAAAGCGUGGGGAGCAAACAGGAUUAGAUACCCGAGUAGUC